CUUAAUUUGACUCAAUACGGGAAAGCUCACCUGGCCAGGACAAGGAAAGAUUGAUAGCUCUUUCUUGAUUCUGUGGAUGGGUGGGUGGGGGGCGCAUGGCCGUUCUUAGCUGGUGGAGCAAUAUGUCUGGUCAAUUCCGAUAACGCCAACUAGUUAUGCCAUUCCUGAGCAGUUGGAGCCCAACUUCUUAGGAGCAUAAGUGGUCACUCAAGAAUGAGUGAUAACAGGUGCAAUAACAGAUAGAUGGCCAUCUG
Molecule: non-coding RNA, 254 nt
Organism: Podarcis lilfordi (Lilford's wall lizard)
Lineage: Eukaryota; Metazoa; Chordata; Lepidosauria; Squamata; Lacertidae
Source: the annotation of a GenBank genome assembly